AGAGUUUGAUCCUGGCUCAGGACGAACGCUGGCGGCGUGCUUAACACAUGCAAGUCGAGCGAUGAAGCUUCCUUCGGGAAGUGGAUUAGCGGCGGACGGGUGAGUAACACGUGGGUAACCUGCCUCAAAGUGGGGGAUAGCCUUCCGAAAGGAAGAUUAAUACCGCAUAAUAUAAGAGAAUCGCAUGAUUUUCUUAUCAAAGAUUUAUUGCUUUGAGAUGGACCCGCGGCGCAUUAGCUAGUUGGUAAGGUAAUGGCUUACCAAGGCAACGAUGCGUAGCCGACCUGAGAGGGUGAUCGGCCACAUUGGAACUGAGACACGGUCCAGACUCCUACGGGAGGCAGCAGUGGGGAAUAUUGCGCAAUGGGGGAAACCCUGACGCAGCAACGCCGCGUGGGUGAUGAAGGUCUUCGGAUUGUAAAGCCCUGUUUUCUAGGACGAUAAUGACGGUACUAGAGGAGGAAGCCACGGCUAACUACGUGCCAGCAGCCGCGGUAAUACGUAGGUGGCGAGCGUUGUCCGGAUUUACUGGGCGUAAAGGGUGCGUAGGCGGAUGUUUAAGUGGGAUGUGAAAUCCCCGGGCUUAACCUGGGGGCUGCAUUCCAAACUGGAUAUCUAGAGUGCAGGAGAGGAAAGCGGAAUUCCUAGUGUAGCGGUGAAAUGCGUAGAGAUUAGGAAGAACACCAGUGGCGAAGGCGGCUUUCUGGACUGUAACUGACGCUGAGGCACGAAAGCGUGGGUAGCAAACAGGAUUAGAUACCCUGGUAGUCCACGCCGUAAACGAUGGAUACUAGGUGUAGGGGGUAUCAACUCCCCCUGUGCCGCAGUUAACACAAUAAGUAUCCCGCCUGGGGAGUACGGUCGCAAGAUUAAAACUCAAAGGAAUUGACGGGGGCCCGCACAAGCAGCGGAGCAUGUGGUUUAAUUCGAAGCAACGCGAAGAACCUUACCUGGACUUGACAUCCCUUGCAUAGCCUAGAGAUAGGUGAAGCCCUUCGGGGCAAGGAGACAGGUGGUGCAUGGUUGUCGUCAGCUCGUGUCGUGAGAUGUUAGGUUAAGUCCUGCAACGAGCGCAACCCUUGUUAUUAGUUGCUACCAUUAAGUUGAGCACUCUAAUGAGACUGCCUGGGUAACCAGGAGGAAGGUGGGGAUGACGUCAAAUCAUCAUGCCCCUUAUGUCCAGGGCUACACACGUGCUACAAUGGUAGGUACAAUAAGACGCAAGACCGUGAGGUGGAGCAAAACUUAUAAAACCUAUCUCAGUUCGGAUUGUAGGCUGCAACUCGCCUACAUGAAGCUGGAGUUGCUAGUAAUCGCGAAUCAGAAUGUCGCGGUGAAUACGUUCCCGGGCCUUGUACACACCGCCCGUCACACCAUGAGAGCUGGUAACACCCGAAGUCCGUGAGGUAACCGUAAGGAGCCAGCGGCCGAAGGUGGGAUUAGUGAUUGGGGUGAAGUCGUAACAAGGUAGCCGUAGGAGAACCUGCGGCUGGAUCACCUCC
RNAcentral lists this ribosomal RNA (1502 nucleotides) under Clostridium botulinum H04402 065. It matches the Rfam family "Bacterial small subunit ribosomal RNA". The record is from RNAcentral. Lineage: Bacteria; Bacillati; Bacillota; Clostridia; Eubacteriales; Clostridiaceae.